Molecule: long non-coding RNA, 240 nt
Filed under: Mytilus galloprovincialis (Mediterranean mussel)
Lineage: Eukaryota; Metazoa; Mollusca; Bivalvia; Mytilida; Mytilidae
Source: RNAcentral
CUCGCCUGCAGAACUUGCCCCUAAUUAAAAUCUAUAGAGUUAAACUUGUUCUCUUCAAUGUUGAUCUCCUUUAAAAUUUUCUCCUCAAUGCAGAUUUUCUGUAAACUUUUCUCUUCAAUGCAGAUUUUCUGUAAACUUUUCUCUUCAAUGUAGAUUUUCUUUUAACUUUUUUCUUCAAUGCAGAUCUCUUUUAAAGUUUCUGUUCAAUGUAGACCUCCAUCCAUGUAAUAUCAAAUCUAC